CCUACGGGAGGCAGCAGUGAGGAAUAUUGGUCAAUGGCCGGAAGGCUGAACCAGCCAAGCCGCGUGAAGGACGAAGGUGCCAAGCAUUGUAAACUUCUUUUGUCAAGGGACAAAAUCAGGCUCGAGAGCCUGACCGAGGGUACUUGAAGAAAAAGCAUCGGCUAACUCCGUGCCAGCAGCCGCGGUAAUACGGGGGAUGCGAGCGUUAUCCGGAUUUAUUGGGUUUAAAGGGUGCGUAGGCGGGCUGUUAAGUCAGCGGUGAAAGGCCGGGGGCCAACCCCGGCGGAGCAUUUGAAACUGGCUGUCUUGAGAUGUGGAGAGGUAUGCGGAAUGCGCAGUGUAGCGGUGAAAUGCUUAGAUAUUGCGCAGAACUCCGAUUGCGAAGGCAGCAUACCGGCGGCGAUCUGACGCUGAGGCACGAAAGCGUGGGUAUCGAACAGGAUUAGAUACCCGAGUAGUC
RNAcentral lists this ribosomal RNA (460 nucleotides) under uncultured bacterium. Its description in RNAcentral is "partial 16S ribosomal RNA". It matches the Rfam family "Bacterial small subunit ribosomal RNA", at positions 338 to 795 of the family's 1533-position model. The record is from RNAcentral.